CAAUAGCGUAUAUUAAAGUUGUUGCAGUUAAAAAGCUCGUAGUUGGACUUCGGGGCAUGGGUGCCCGGGUGACAGUUGUCAUUGCGGAGCGUCCUGUCCUUCCAGGCCAAGACCGGGGGCAACCUCGGGAUUUGCCUCGUUUACCUUGAAAAAAUUAGAGUGUUUAAAGCAGACGACUGUCUGAAUAGAUUAGCAUGGAAUAAUGGAAUAGGACUUUGGUUCUAUUUUGUUGGUUUCUGGAACCAGAGUAAUGAUUAAUAGGGAUAGUUGGGGGCAUUAAUAUUUAAUUGCUAGAGGUGAAAUUCUUGGAUUUAUGAAAGAUUAACUUCUGCGAAAGCAUUUGCCAAGGAUGUUUUCAUUAA
RNAcentral lists this ribosomal RNA (362 nucleotides) under uncultured eukaryote. RNAcentral's name for it is "partial 18S ribosomal RNA". It matches the Rfam family "Eukaryotic small subunit ribosomal RNA", at positions 592 to 976 of the family's 1831-position model. The record is from RNAcentral.